This is a long non-coding RNA of Oryza sativa Japonica Group (Japanese rice), 770 nucleotides long. RefSeq lists it as uncharacterized. The record is from RefSeq and is a predicted model, not a curated record. Lineage: Eukaryota; Viridiplantae; Streptophyta; Magnoliopsida; Poales; Poaceae.
UGGCAGCGCCCAUGCUCCUGCAGGGGGCUAGCUAGAGAGAAAACGACGAGAUAGCUAGCUAGCCAUGCAUGCAUCUUCACCUGAUUAAACUAACCCCAUCACUCUUCUGCCUGCGUGUGUGCUGUGCAAAGCCGGCUAUAAAAUCACUUGCAACUCCAGUGCGAGAGCCCUUGGGCGACCAGAGAGGGAGAGGUUCCGGCCUGCUACCUCCUGGUCUCCUCUCUUCUAUCCAAGUUUGAGAAGGCCAGAGAUAUAUGCAUGCUUGCUUGUAUCAUGUGAGUUCAUGCGCAAGCAUGGAUAUCUAGCUCUAUUACUGCAUGCAUUGGUGUUAAUUAGUAGGUGCAUGCAUGGCAUCCUCGUCAAUCCUGAUUGAUGUUUUGAACAACUGGUUAUGUCUUUCACUUCAUGCACGCGUGCGCAAAUGAUGUAUAUAGGUUUCAGGAGAUGAAGUGCUCACUACUGCUCGGGCAGGUAGCUAGCAGUGUCGGCUGGAGCCAUGUACAUUGCUGAUAGAGGCCGGCGAGCGGCAUUGUUGCCGGCUGGAGAGAGGCUGGCCUUCACGCGGUGAACCAAGCUAGGAUAGAAGAACAAAAAAUGGGUCAUGUGGCAAGCAGCUUCUGUUUAUUUAUUUUUCGUUUGUUCAUGCUGUUUGAUUGUUCUCUACUUAAUUUGUACGGUUGUACCCAGCUCCUUACGUAGUUGCAGGCAUUAACUACGUACUCUGCGGUGUUGAAAUCUAUGGAACUUCGUUUACGAGCCGAGCUUCAUAA